Molecule: long non-coding RNA, 239 nt
Filed under: Brassica napus (rape)
Lineage: Eukaryota; Viridiplantae; Streptophyta; Magnoliopsida; Brassicales; Brassicaceae
Description: long non-coding RNA (BNAP_LNC024451)
Source: RNAcentral
CCAAACAAAUAUUCUGUAAGCUUAGGACUUGUAUAUUCCUUGUUUGGUGUACUGUUUGAGUCUCAUCUGAGGUAUUUACGUUUGUAUCAAACCAUGCAUGGUAUUCACUUUUCGCGUGUCUAAUCAACUUAAGUAGAUCCCGUGUGAUUCCUCGGAAUAGUUUGUCAUUACGAGCUUUCCAUAGGUACCAAAGUAUCCAUGGAUAGGGGUUUUUAUUUAGCUUUGAAUCUUCAAUUUUG